This 73-nucleotide transfer RNA is filed under the name Actinomycetota bacterium. RNAcentral describes it as "Actinobacteria bacterium tRNA-Thr". It matches the Rfam family "tRNA". Rfam says of the family: Transfer RNA (tRNA) molecules are approximately 80 nucleotides in length. The record is from RNAcentral. Lineage: Bacteria; Bacillati; Actinomycetota. RNAcentral also lists the same sequence under 1 other name.
GCACCUGUGCCUUAAUCGGUUAAAGGGACGGCGUUGUAAGCCGUAGAUCCGGGUUCGAGCCCCGGCAGGUGCA